This 253-nucleotide ribosomal RNA is filed under the name uncultured bacterium. Its description in RNAcentral is "partial 16S ribosomal RNA". It matches the Rfam family "Bacterial small subunit ribosomal RNA", at positions 524 to 776 of the family's 1533-position model. The record is from RNAcentral.
UACGAAGGGGGCUAGCGUUGUUCGGAAUUACUGGGCGUAAAGCGUACGUAGGCGGAUUUGUAAGUAGGGGGUGAAAUCCCCAGGCUCAACCUGGGAACUGCCUUCUAGACUGCAAGGCUCGAGAUCAGGAGAGGCGAGUGGAAUUCCGAGUGUAGAGGUGAAAUUCGUAGAUAUUCGGAGGAACACCAGUGGCGAAGGCGACUCGCUGGACUGAUACUGACGCUGAGGUACGAACGCGUUGGGAGCAAACAGG